RNAcentral lists this non-coding RNA (387 nucleotides) under Zea mays. RNAcentral describes it as "Bacterial small subunit ribosomal RNA". It matches the Rfam family "Bacterial small subunit ribosomal RNA", at positions 931 to 1333 of the family's 1533-position model. Lineage: Eukaryota; Viridiplantae; Streptophyta; Magnoliopsida; Poales; Poaceae. The record is from Rfam by way of RNAcentral.
GGGGGAGCAAGUGGUUUAAUUUGAUACGAAUCAAAGAAUAUGACCAUGGUUUUACAUGUUGUGAAUUGUUUUGAAUGAGACAGGUACCCUCGGGGACACAAACAUAGGUGGUGCAUGGCUAUCAUCAGCUCAUGUCGUAAGAUGUUGGGUUAAGUCUCGCAAUGAGCGCAACCCUCAUGCUUCCACUAUGAGUUUGGAACCCUAAAUAGAUCAUCGGUGUUAAACCGAAGAAAGGAAAAGAUGAUGCCAAGUCAUCUUGAUCCGUAUGCUCUAAACGACAUGCAUAUAAUGGCUAGGACAAAGGAUCGUGAUCUUGUGAAGGCGAGUUAACUCCAAAAAUCUAUACUAAGUUUGGUUGUAGGAUGGUAACGACAUUUUCAAAAUCUC